AUGGCGCCGCUGAGUGCCAUCUCCUCCAUCUCCUCCCUGUGCCGGCGCAUGUGGCCCCCGAGCGCCUGGCCCGUCUCGAAGCCGAGCCCGCAGAUGUGGCAGUCGUGCUGCUUGUCCUCCUGCCGCUUCCGCUCCUUGAUCGCCCUGGCGACGCCGACGCCGAGCUCGAGCCCAUGGCGGCCCCGGAGGUGGCUGGUCCGGUGCCCGCCCAGCGCCUGGAACGUCUCGAAGGCCCGGCCGCACGUCUUGCACACGAACUCGCCCUCCCCGGACGUGGCCACAGCUCUCCCCCGCCGCGUCCUUUUCCCGGCGUCCGCCGCCAGCGCACUGGCCGAGUCCGCCGAGGUGGUGGUGGACGUCGAGGAAUCUGAGCUGAGCGACAGCGCGAGGGACACAAAUGGCGCCUCCUCCCUCGCGCGCUUCAUGCCCGCUCCCAUGGAUUUGCUGCUUAUCUUAACGAUCCGCUGUAAUCUGUAA
RNAcentral lists this ribosomal RNA (477 nucleotides) under Triticum aestivum (bread wheat). RNAcentral describes it as "partial small subunit ribosomal RNA". Lineage: Eukaryota; Viridiplantae; Streptophyta; Magnoliopsida; Poales; Poaceae. The record is from RNAcentral.